This 810-nucleotide ribosomal RNA is filed under the name uncultured bacterium. RNAcentral's name for it is "bacterial SSU rRNA". It matches the Rfam family "Bacterial small subunit ribosomal RNA", at positions 69 to 875 of the family's 1533-position model. The record is from RNAcentral. RNAcentral also lists the same sequence under 1 other name.
GAUGAGAGAGCUUGCUCUCUGAUUCAGCGGCGGACGGGUGAGUAAUGCCUAGGAAUCUGCCUGAUAGUGGGGGACAACGUUUCGAAAGGAACGCUAAUACCGCAUACGUCCUAAGGGAGAAAGCAGGGGACCUUCGGGCCUUGCGCUAUCAGAUGAGCCUAGGUCGGAUUAGCUAGUUGGUGAGGUAAUGGCUCACCAAGGCGACGAUCCGUAACUGGUCUGAGAGGAUGAUCAGUCACACUGGAACUGAGACACGGUCCAGACUCCUACGGGAGGCAGCAGUGGGGAAUAUUGGACAAUGGGCGAAAGCCUGAUCCAGCCAUGCCGCGUGUGUGAAGAAGGUCUUCGGAUUGUAAAGCACUUUAAGUUGGGAGGAAGGGCAUUAACCUAAUACGUUAGUGUUUUGACGUUACCGACAGAAUAAGCACCGGCUAACUUCGUGCCAGCAGCCGCGGUAAUACGAAGGGUGCAAGCGUUAAUCGGAAUUACUGGGCGUAAAGCGCGCGUAGGUGGUUUGUUAAGUUGAAUGUGAAAGCCCCGGGCUCAACCUGGGAACUGCAUCCAAAACUGGCAAGCUAGAGUAUGGCAGAGGGUGGUGGAAUUUCCUGUGUAGCGGUGAAAUGCGUAGAUAUAGGAAGGAACACCAGUGGCGAAGGCGACCACCUGGGCUAAUACUGACACUGAGGUGCGAAAGCGUGGGGAGCAAACAGGAUUAGAUACCCUGGUAGUCCACGCCGUAAACGAUGUCGACUAGCCGUUGGGAUCCUUGAGAUCUUAGUGGCGCAGCUAACGCAUUAAGUCGACCGCCUG